This 416-nucleotide ribosomal RNA is filed under the name Hydrodictyon reticulatum. Its description in RNAcentral is "partial 18S ribosomal RNA". It matches the Rfam family "Eukaryotic small subunit ribosomal RNA", at positions 764 to 1209 of the family's 1831-position model. Lineage: Eukaryota; Viridiplantae; Chlorophyta; Chlorophyceae; Sphaeropleales; Hydrodictyaceae. The record is from RNAcentral.
AAUUAGAGUUCAAAGCAGGCAUACGCCCUGAAUACUUUAGCAUGGACACGAUAGGACUCUGGCCUAUCUUGUUGGUCUGUAGGACCGGAGUAAUGAUUAAGAGGGCAGUCGGGGGCAUUCGUAUUUCAUUGUCAGAGGUGAAAUUCUGAUUUAUGAAAGACGAACUACUGCGAAAGCAUUUGCCAAGGAUGUUUUUAAUCAAGAACGAAAGUUGGGGGCUCGAAGACGAUUAGAUACCGUCGUAGUCUCAACCAUAAACGAUGCCGACUGGAUUGGCGGAUGUUUUUUUUCCGCCAGCACCUUAUGAGAAAUCAAAGUUUUUGGGUUCCGGGGGGAGUAUGGUCGCAGCUGAAACUUAAAGGAAUUGACGGAACCACCAGGCGUGGAGCCUGCGGCUUAAUUUGACUCAACACGGG